UAGGGAAUCUUCGGCAAUGGACGAAAGUCUGACCGAGCAACGCCGCGUGAGUGAAGAAGGUUUUCGGAUCGUAAAACUCUGUUGUUAGAGAAGAACAAGGACGUUAGUAACUGAACGUCCCCUGACGGUAUCUAACCAGAAAGCCACGGCUAACUACGUGCCAGCAGCCGCGGUAAUACGUAGGUGGCAAGCGUUGUCCGGAUUUAUUGGGCGUAAAGCGAGCGCAGGCGGUUUCUUAAGUCUGAUGUGAAAGCCCCCGGCUCAACCGGGGAGGGUCAUUGGAAACGGGGAGACUUGAGUGCAGAAGAGGAGAGUGGAAUUCCAUGUGUAGCGGUGAAAUGCGUAGAGAUAUGGAGGAACACCAGUGGCGAAGGCGGAUCUCUGGUCUGUAACAGAAGCUGAGGCUCGAAAGCGUGGGGAGCAAACAGG
Molecule: ribosomal RNA, 429 nt
Filed under: Gemmatimonadota bacterium
Lineage: Bacteria; Pseudomonadati; Gemmatimonadota
Description: Gemmatimonadetes bacterium partial 16S ribosomal RNA
Rfam family: Bacterial small subunit ribosomal RNA
Source: RNAcentral